Molecule: ribosomal RNA, 506 nt
Filed under: uncultured bacterium
Lineage: Bacteria
Description: partial 16S ribosomal RNA
Rfam family: Bacterial small subunit ribosomal RNA
Source: RNAcentral
AGUGAACGCUGGCGGUAGGCCUAACACAUGCAAGUCGAACGGCAGCACAGAGGAGCUUGCUCCUUGGGUGGCGAGUGGCGGACGGGUGAGGAAUACAUCGGAAUCUACUCUGUCGUGGGGGAUAACGUAGGGAAACUUACGCUAAUACCGCAUACGACCUACGGGUGAAAGCAGGGGACCUUCGGGCCUUGCGCGAUUGAAUGAGCCGAUGUCGGAUUAGCUAGUUGGCGGGGUAAAGGCCCACCAAGGCGACGAUCCGUAGCUGGUCUGAGAGGAUGAUAAGCCACACUGGAACGGAGACACGGUCCAGACUCCUACGGGAGGCAGCAGUGGGGAAUAUUGGACAAUGGGCGCAAGCCUGAUCCAGCCAUACCGCGUGGGUGAAGAAGGCCUUCGGGUUGUAAAGCCCUUUUGUUGGGAAAGAAAUCCAGCUGGCUAAUACCCGGUUGGGAUGACGGUACCCAAAGAAUAAGCACCGGCUAACUUCGUGCCAGCAGCCGCGGUAA